RNAcentral lists this ribosomal RNA (305 nucleotides) under uncultured bacterium. RNAcentral describes it as "bacterial SSU rRNA". It matches the Rfam family "Bacterial small subunit ribosomal RNA", at positions 333 to 636 of the family's 1533-position model. The record is from RNAcentral.
UACUCCCUACGGGGGGCAGCAGUGAGGAAUAUUGGUCAAUGGUCGGGAGACUGAACCAGCCAAGCCGCGUGAGGGAGGAAGGUACAGAGUAUCGUAAACCUCUUUUGUCAGGGAACAAAGGCGGGGACGUGUCCCCGGAUGAGUGUACCUGAAGAAAAAGCAUCGGCUAACUCCGUGCCAGCAGCCGCGGUAAUACGGAGGAUGCGAGCGUUAUCCGGAUUUAUUGGGUUUAAAGGGUGCGCAGGCGGUCGGCUAAGUCAGCGGUCAAAGCCCGGGGCUCAACCCCGGCGCGCCGUGGAAACUGG